Molecule: transfer RNA, 74 nt
Filed under: Nanobdellota archaeon
Lineage: Archaea; Nanobdellati; Nanobdellota
Description: tRNA-Arg
Rfam family: tRNA
About the family: Transfer RNA (tRNA) molecules are approximately 80 nucleotides in length.
Source: RNAcentral
GCUCUGGUAGCUCAGUAGGAUAGAGCGGCCGCCCCCUAAGCGGUAGGCCGUGGGUUCGAUUCCCACCCAGAGCG